This 635-nucleotide long non-coding RNA is filed under the name Daucus carota (carrot). Its description in RNAcentral is "long non-coding RNA (DCAR_LNC004492)". The record is from RNAcentral. Lineage: Eukaryota; Viridiplantae; Streptophyta; Magnoliopsida; Apiales; Apiaceae.
GCGCUAAUUAAGCACCAUUACACCACCUCCACAGUCACCGUGCAAGAACCGGAAAAACACAAACAUUCAUCAUGGACACUAGCGAAAACUAAAAAUCGAAAAUGCGAAUCCAAAACUCAAAAAUGUAACUAAUCAUAUGAUAUAAAAAUGAUUACAAAUACCCAAUCUCCUCCGAAUCAGGCAAAAUAGAUCAAGAAAUGACAAAAUAUGAUACAAAACAACACAUACACUAAUAGAUUCAAGCACACCACACCAUUAUACUUAAUCAUGAAAAUUAUGAACCACACCAUAAUAAUAUAUACUGUGAAUCCAUAAAUAAUCACAUAACCAUAAUCAUGAAGUAUAAUGUAUUGGAAAGAUCGCACCUUGUCGAAAAGACUAAAAGCUUUCUGAAACUCGACAAUCUUAUUUGGAGGAAUGGCGCGACCGGGAUUGUUAAGCAUGAUCCGACUAACAAUCGAUCGUAUACGAUCAUGUAUCUCUAGUCGAAACAGAGAGUUGACAGAAAAUGUCCAAGGGCAGUUGAUUAUGUUGAGUAAGAAAUCAUGGGCUGAGAAUAGAGAGGGGCAACUGGUGUGUGUUAAUAUUAAAAUAGAGAUGAUAGCUUAGAUUUGCAGGGGAGGAGGCGUAUAGGG